Molecule: ribosomal RNA, 441 nt
Filed under: uncultured bacterium
Lineage: Bacteria
Description: partial 16S ribosomal RNA
Rfam family: Bacterial small subunit ribosomal RNA
Source: RNAcentral
CCUACGGGAGGCAGCAGUAGGGAAUAUUGCACAAUGGGGGAAACCCUGAUGCAGCAACGCCGCGUGCGUGAGGAAGUAUUUCGGUAUGUAAAGCGCUAUCAGCAGGGAAUAGAAAAGGCGGUACCUGAUAAAGAAGCCCCGGCUAACUACGUGCCCACAGCCGCCGUUAACCGUAGGGGGCAAGCGUUUACCGGAUUUACGGGGUGUUAAGGGUUCGUAAACGGAAAGGCUAGUCAGAAGUGAAAGCCCAAGGUUCAACCAUAGGACCGCUUUGGAAACUACCAAACUAGAGUAAGAGAGAGGUAAGAGGAAUUCCUAGUGAAGCGGUGAAAUGCGUAGAUAUUAGGAGGAACACCAGAGGCGAAGGCGUCUUACUGGAUCGAAACUGACGUUGAGGCUCGAAAGCGUGGGGAGCAAACAGGAUUAGAUACCCUGGUAGUC